CCUACGGGCGGCAGCAGUGGGGAAUAUUGGGCAAUGGGCGCAAGCCUGAACCAGCAAAGCAGCGUGAAGGAAGAAGGCUUUCGGGGUGUAACACUCUUUUCUGAGGGACAAAGAAAGUGCCGGUACAUCCGGAAUAAGCCACGUCUAACUACGUGCCAGCACCAGCGGUAAUACGUAGGUGGCAAGCGUUAUCCGGAUUUAUUGGGUGUAAAGGUCGUGUAGGCGGGAAAGCAAGUCAGAUGUGAAAACUAAGGGCUCAACCCUGAGACUGCAUUUGAAACUGUUUUUCUUGAGUGCUGUAGAGGCAAGCGGAAUUCCUGGUGUAGCGGUGAAAUGCGUAGAUAUACGGAGGAACACCAGUGGCGAAGGCGGAUUGCUGGACAGUAACUGACGCUGAGGCGCGAAAGCGUGGGUAGCAAACAGGAUUAGAUACCCGGGUAGUC
This 443-nucleotide ribosomal RNA is filed under the name uncultured bacterium. RNAcentral describes it as "partial 16S ribosomal RNA". It matches the Rfam family "Bacterial small subunit ribosomal RNA", at positions 338 to 795 of the family's 1533-position model. The record is from RNAcentral.